RNAcentral lists this ribosomal RNA (752 nucleotides) under uncultured Thermaceae bacterium. RNAcentral describes it as "bacterial SSU rRNA". It matches the Rfam family "Bacterial small subunit ribosomal RNA", at positions 578 to 1334 of the family's 1533-position model. Lineage: Bacteria; Thermotogati; Deinococcota; Deinococci; Thermales; Thermaceae. The record is from RNAcentral.
GUCUUUCAAGUCCGAUGCUAAAGACUGGGGCUCAACCCCAGGGGUGCGUUGGAUACUGUGAGGCUAGACGGUCGGAGGGGGUAGCGGAAUUUCCGGAGUAGCGGUGAAAUGCGCAGAUACCGGAAGGAACGCCAAUAGCGAAGGCAGCUACCUGGACGACUUGUGACGCUGAGGCGCGAAAGCGUGGGGAGCAAACCGGAUUAGAUACCCGGGUAGUCCACGCCCUAAACCAUGAGUGCUGGGUGUCCGGCUUCUGCUGGGUGCCGUAGCUAACGCGCUAAGCACUCCGCCUGGGAAGUACGCACGCAAGUGUGAAACUCAAAGGAAUUGACGGGGGCCCGCACAAGCGGUGGAGCAUGUGGUUUAAUUCGAAGCGACGCGAAGAACCUUACCAGGCCUUGACAUGCCCGGAACCCCUCUGAAAGGAGGGGGUGCCCGCAAGGGAGCCGGGACACAGGUGCUGCAUGGCCGUCGUCAGCUCGUGUCGUGAGAUGUUGGGUUAAGUCCCGCAACGAGCGCAACCCCUAUCCCUAGUUGCCAGCAGUUCGGCUGGGCACUCUAUGGAGACUGCCUGCGAAAGCAGGAGGAAGGCGGGGAUGACGUCUGGUCCGCAUGGCCCUUACGGCCUGGGCGACACACGUGCUACAAUGCCAAGGACAGAGCGCUGCUACCUCGCGAGAGGACGCCAAUCGCAAAAACCUUGGCUCAGUUCGGAUUGGAGUCUGCAACUCGACUCCAUGAAGCCGGAAUCG